UACAGAAAGUGCGAGCGUUAAUCGGAAUUACUGAACGUAAAACGUGCGUAGACGGCUAUCUAAGUCGGGUGUGAAAGCCCCGGGCUCAACCUGGGAAUUGCAUUCGAGACUGAAUAGCUAGGGUACGGUAGAGGGAAGCGGAAUUUCCGAUGUAGCAGUGAAAUACGUAGAUAUCGGAAGGAACAUCAGUGGCGAAAGCAGCUUCCUGGACCAGCACCGACGUUCAGACACGAAAGCGUAAAGAGCAAACAAA
Molecule: ribosomal RNA, 253 nt
Filed under: uncultured bacterium
Lineage: Bacteria
Description: partial 16S ribosomal RNA
Rfam family: Bacterial small subunit ribosomal RNA
Source: RNAcentral